AUUUGCUACAAAUUUACCUCUUCAUCGACAAAGGAACAUGAAAAACAUUGAAAAUAUUAUGAUACAUCGCUGUGUUUACAAGAAGCAUAAGAACCGUUAUAAAGUGUCAGUUAAUAGUACUUCAGCGUCUAACAAUCGUCAACGAUUUGUACUUCAGCGUCAAACACGCGUCAUUAAACGUCAACCACUGUCAUUCAAGCGUCAAACAAUAGUUCAUCACCG
RNAcentral lists this long non-coding RNA (222 nucleotides) under Mytilus galloprovincialis (Mediterranean mussel). The record is from RNAcentral. Lineage: Eukaryota; Metazoa; Mollusca; Bivalvia; Mytilida; Mytilidae.